Molecule: long non-coding RNA, 1347 nt
Organism: Gallus gallus (chicken)
Lineage: Eukaryota; Metazoa; Chordata; Aves; Galliformes; Phasianidae
Exons: 3
Source: RefSeq, a predicted model, not a curated record
ACUUCUCCCUAAUAUCUAACCUAAACCUCCCAUGUCUCAGUUUAAGACUCAUCAUCCUUGUCCUAUCACUAUCCACCCUUGUAAACAGCCAUUCCCCCUCCUGUUUAUAUCCCUUCAAAAUGCGUGUAUUAUGGACUUUGACUAUUCUGUUGUAUUUGCUUUGCAGUUUAUAUGUCUUACAGACUAUGGAACCUUUCUCUUUGCCUCGGAUGAAAUCCACUGAUUCCAAGAAAAUGAAUACAUUAUUUGUGGUAAUUGGAUGGAAGUGUAUGAUAUGUAAAUUAAUAGCUAUAUAAAUCAUUAAUGUAUUUUUCUCUUCUUAUGGUGUUUAUUAAGGGUAAAUGAUGCAGCAGACUAUUCUCUUCUCAGAGUAUUUUGUAGCAUACAGUGUAGAGGUAAUCUUAGAAUUUCACUUUUUAGUUUAAAAUCAAAGUUUUUAUUAGGAUUUAAAGUGGAUUUAAUCUGUUACUUCAGCUGCAUGACCACUAAAUUAGAAGGGUAAAUACUUGAAGAUUCUUUUCUAUUUAGAAAAUUGAAAGAUGUUAAUUUCUGUUGUAAGAAACUAUAAGUAAUCUGCCACUAUCUUAUGUUGAAUAAUAUAGCUGUACUCUCCCAUGGGUUUUGUUUGUAUAUUUUUUCUGUUUUGUUUGUUUUGAUAGCAUUUGCUGAAUGUUUGUUUUUGCUUUUGUUUUUGUUUUUUUAAUCCAGGAAGCAGGAAAGUGAUGAAUCUGGAACUAGUAAUGUGCUACUCGUUUUGAAGUCCUCAUGACCUAGAAUGCUUGCACUGACAUAAGAAAGAGAACAAAGAUUUGUAUUGGUUUAAGCUGAAUAUCAAACUACACUUUAAGCUGUAAGGCACUUAAACUGGCAAACAAACAAGGGCUAAAGGCUGAAAGACCAGUUCCUAAGUUUGGCCCUAGGCCACGUCUGUGAAAAUGUUCUGAAGCUAUUCAGAAGAGACAAAUAAGAAGAGAUAAAUGUGACAAAUCUCAGGAACACUUUCCUUUUGUAACCGCUUUUGGAGCGAUGUGUCAAUAAAAACAAAAGUUUCAAAUUGGAUUACCGCUACCUACUGGCAGGGAUUAGGUAAAAUGUUAAGACAAAUGGGUAUAUUGAGUAAUAGCCUUCAAUUUUGUGAAAGAAACAAGCUCUACAGUUCUUUUUAUUUAAUUAAUAAAUCAACAAGUUACAACUGAACAAGUGUAGCUCAAAACACUUCUUUAGGUAACACAUACAAGUCUGUACAGUCUCUUGCUGCCUUUGGCUUUAUCUAGUACCCAAAUGAAUAAACAGCCAAAACAUUAGUAUUUCCUCAGAGGGGUGGGGGGGGGGGGGAAAGAAUGAAAG